This is a long non-coding RNA of Eurytemora carolleeae, 226 nucleotides long. RefSeq lists it as uncharacterized. The transcript has 3 exons. Lineage: Eukaryota; Metazoa; Arthropoda; Copepoda; Calanoida; Temoridae. The record is from RefSeq and is a predicted model, not a curated record.
AUGUUUUUUCCAUAAUUUUAUGUUAAGGUUGCCACUAGGAAGGGAUUCCCUCAUGUAAUCUACGCCAGAAUCUGGAGAUGGCCUGAUCUUCAUAAAAACGAACUCAAAAAUGUGAAGUACUGCCAAUUCGCUUUUGAUUUAAAGGCGGAUUCUGUUUGUGUGAACCCGUAUCAUUAUGAAAGAGUUGUCAGUCCUGGUAUUGAUCUUUCGGGUCUCUCCAUACAGG